UUGACCUCGGAUCAGGUAGGAAUACCCGCUGAACUUAAGCAUAUCAAUAAGCGGAGGAAAAGAAACCAACAGGGAUUGCCCCAGUAACGGCGAGUGAAGCGGCAACAGCUCAAAUUUGAAAUCUGGUCCCCAGGGCCCGAGUUGUAAUUUGUAGAGGAUGCUUUUGGCAAGGUGCCUUCCGAGUUCCCUGGAACGGGACGCCAUAGAGGGUGAGAGCCCCGUCUGGUCGGACACCGAGCCUCUGUAAAGCUCCUUCGACGAGUCGAGUAGUUUGGGAAUGCUGCUCAAAAUGGGAGGUAUAUGUCUUCUAAAGCUAAAUAUAGGCCAGAGACCGAUAGCGCACAAGUAGAGUGAUCGAAAGAUGAAAAGCACUUUGAAAAGAGGGUUAAAAAGUACGUGAAAUUGUUGAAAGGGAAGCGCCUAUGACCAGACUUGAGCCCGGUGAAUCAUCCAGCGUUCUCGCUGGUGCACUUUGCCGGGCACAGGCCAGCAUCAGUUUGGCGCGGGGGAUAAAGGCUUUGGGAAUGUGGCUCCCUCGGGAGUGUUAUAGCCCAUUGCGCAAUACCCUGCGCCGGACUGAGGUACGCGCAUCGCAG
Molecule: ribosomal RNA, 596 nt
Filed under: Akanthomyces lecanii
Lineage: Eukaryota; Fungi; Ascomycota; Sordariomycetes; Hypocreales; Cordycipitaceae
Description: partial 28S ribosomal RNA
Rfam family: Eukaryotic large subunit ribosomal RNA
Source: RNAcentral